GAUGAACGCUGGCGGCGUGCCUAACACAUGCAAGUCGAACGGUUAAGCCACCUUCGGGUGGGCAUACAGUGGCGAACGGGUGAGUAACACGUGACCAACCUGCCCCUUGCUCCGGGACAACCUCGGGAAACCGAGGCUAAUACCGGAUGCUCCGGCCCUCCGCAUGGAGGGGCCGGGAAAGCCUGGCGCGGCAAGGGAUGGGGUCGCGGCCCAUCAGGUAGACGGCGGGGUAGCGGCCCACCGUGCUUUCGACGGGUAGCCGGGUUGAGAGACCGACCGGCCACAUUGGGACUGAGAUACGGCCCAGACUCCUACGGGAGGCAGCAGUGGGGAAUUUUGCGCAAUGGGGGCAACCCUGACGCAGCAACGCCGCGUGCGGGAAGACGGGCCUUCGGGUUGUAAACCGCUUUUCAGCAGGGAAGACCGACGAC
RNAcentral lists this ribosomal RNA (431 nucleotides) under uncultured bacterium. RNAcentral describes it as "bacterial SSU rRNA". It matches the Rfam family "Bacterial small subunit ribosomal RNA", at positions 28 to 456 of the family's 1533-position model. The record is from RNAcentral.